UCCCGCUCCCAUAUAAACCACCCCUCCCCUGGUCGACGUCCUCACAAUCUGAUUUCAAAAACUUCGUCGACGUGCGUGCGUACUUGCGCCAUGGACGCCGUCGUGUUGGGUGACGUUGAUGAUCUCGACUUCGACUUGGGUUUUAUGGACGGGUUCGAGUUCGACCUGCUGGACAUGGACCUCACCGAGUUCUGCCACGGCGACGGCGAGUGCUUGCUGCCUGCCGUGGCCGAUAAGGAUGGCGGUUUGGGUUUGGAUUUAGGUUCUGAUGACGGUGGCGAAGGGGGGAGGGAGAGCUCGCCGGACUCCGUGGUGACGGACGACGGCGCGCCGCCUCUGUCGUUAGAGCCGUCUGGGGAUCGCGACGAUGGCGAGAUGUCGGCCUACGUGGGCGACCUGGAGAGGUUCCUCAUGGAGAGCGAGGAUGACGCGGAGGCCGGCGGGCCGUUCGCGGCCAAGGGGCUUGCCGCCAACGACCACUUGUUCGACGAUCUCGCUGUUGCGGACGGCGGUUACGUCCAGCCGUCGACUGCAGCGGAGGAGUUUGCCGCCGCGGACUACUUCUUGGGUGAUCUCGACGACGGUUACGCUGAGCCGGCGACUCCAGGGAAGGAUCUCGUCCUCGACGACUACUUCUUCGGCGAUCUCGUCUCGUACGACUACUUAUACGAUCCUGCUGUUGCGAGCGAUGGCUGCGUCGAGCCCGCGGCCGUUGCCAGCGUGGACGAUGCUGCAUCAUCGGCGACGGAGGAGGAGGAUGCUGGCGAGUACUACGACGACGACGAAGCGACCUCGAGGAAGCGCGCAAGGCAGAGGAAGGGCGGCGCUGCGGUGCCACGCGAAGCAGAGCUCCGGGAAACGCCGGUGAUGCAUGCCAUCUGGUCGAUCUCGACUGGAAACGGGUGCCGCCCCCUUGGUCACCAUUGGCUGCAUCCCUGCACCACAGUGUGCCUGUUGGCCUGAUCGAUCGAUGGAUCAACCUGCAGUUACGGCCCGUCUGGGAGAAAGAUCGCGACGGCGCCUGCCUCAGGUAUUCGAACCGGUAGGUGAAAAAUUCAGAGGAACAUUUCCCCGUGUUCUUCUAUGAUAUUUUCUGCCUUUCACACCAACCCGGCCAUUGGACGAUUAUAUAAAGUCAUGGGACGAACUAUAAACAACACAUACUCCUCUGUUCGGAGUAGAAAAUUUUGGUAGCAACUCUCGAACAACACGUUUACAAAAAGAAAAGAAAGCUUAGUUUUAUAAUGUACGAGUACACCUAAUAUUCCUCUUCUUGUACACAUACAUCCCGUGCGCAUUCCGGAUGUUAGUAGAAGUACAAGAAACCUUCUACUAGGUAGAGCAUGUCAUAUUCUUGUUCUCGACCGUCCAGAAUUUUUUUUCUCUGAAAAUCCAGUGAGCGCCACAAAUCGUCCAGGCUUGUGUUUAUUCAGUGUGGGCCGCUUAUAAUCUUGCUCGUACUGCUACCAGUUAAGGCUUAUUGAUUGGUGUACGUUUAGAAUUACAGGAAACCUUUUAGUUGGUAGAGCAUGGCAAUCUUUUGCUUUCUAAGCAUCGUCGACAGUCCAGCCCCCUUUUCUCUGAAAAAAAUGCCGUAAGCACCUUCAAUCGUCCAGGCUUGUGUUUUGUUCAGUGCGGAUAGCAUAUAAUCUGCUCGUGCUGUUCAUUUCUUUGGGUAGACAAAAGCUUCAAUGGUUCUGGCCCUGUGCAGUCCAUCCAUGGAAAAAUUUGGAAGCGACUAUGGUGUGAAUUGUGAUCAAUGCACUCAGCUGCAGCAACGAUUGUUUUCUCCCACUAAUUAUGAAGGCUGUUUGUGAAACAGUAGAACACAGUUUCCUGUAUUGUCAGUUUACAAAGGAAAAUUGGAAGGUAUGGACUCCGAAAACAAGGUUCCUGUAUUGUCAGUUUCCUUCAGAAUUAAGCAGUGGCUGUGGCUGUUACAAUCCUAUGGUCUCUGCGGUGUGAGUGUGGCACAUUUGGAAGUAGAGAUGAAACCAUAUAUCUGCAUAUGUUGAAUGAUCACAACAGUCUUUGAAGCCUAGAUCUUCUAUCUAUCAGUACCGGGAGACGAGACCAAGUACGAGGAUCAUGUUGAUCCUAUUUAAAAUGUUUACGAUGAGCAGAGUUUCGAUCCCACCGAGGACAUUUCAGGCAAGAUGAUCAUUAUCUUGGAUAUCACUACUGUUGUCUUGUUUUUAUUGAUAUAUCACGUUACCUACUACUUGCCUCCUAAAUUGCCAUAUAAGCUGGUUGGUGUGUAGAGUAAUGAUAGCUUCGAACAAUGUUAACCUGAUUUGACCGAGAUAUGGUGAGCAAAACCUUUCCUUAGGAAAGAUACAACAAAAAUGAAAGACCAAUUACACGAUUGCCAUCUGGCUGUCGUAUAUAUGUACAUAAAUAGUUGCAGUCCAUAAUUGUCUUGAUAGCUAGUUGUGUUGGCAAUCCCAUUGAAUUGAAUUUUCGAAUGAGUUAAUUUUUUUGCAUUGUUGUUUAGUAUGAGAGUGUGCAAGGUCAUAUGAAUUAUCUAAAUUGCCAAGAAAAAGAGUUUAAAUAUAUUUUCCCUUUGCUAUUAAAAAGGAUAUGCUUAACCAUAUAGAAUGUGUGUACAAUGGCUGAUAAGAAACUUUAUCUGUAAUAUAUUUUAUAAUAAACUUUUAUACUUAGUUAAACUAGCUAUAUAUAGUUUAAAUUAGUUUUUUUGUUAGUUAUCUAUCAUAGUUAACAACGUAAAAUUUUUGUCGAAUAAUGCUUAUAAUGUUCUCGGUUUGUUCUGUAGUUUUAAUGUAUGUCACUAAAAUUUUGUUUCUUCAAAAUUUAAAUUGCAUGAUAUAACAAAAUUUCUCUCUGAACUUCAAAAAGUUCAUUAACUACAUAGUGUAUAAAUAUAUAUUUGCAUGUGUGUGUGGUCAUAUAUUGGUAUCAUUAAAUAUCAUGAUAGACAUUUGUAAAGCAUAUAAUCUACCAAAAAUAUUAAUAGUGGUUUACACUUUCUAGAGUAUCACUAUUAGGUAUACUUAUAUAAACUUUUAGGGUAUGGAAAACGUUUCUUGCAAGUUAGGUUUAUUAAUAAUUUUACAACAUGUGCAGGAUUUGUUUAAAUAGUGCAAUUAUUGUAAUCAUAGAAGAGUGUAAAAAUUACAUAAUCUACUUUUGCAAACAUAUGAUUUGAUAUUUGUUAUUUUUAUGUUCUUUCAACCAAAUUUAUUUAAAAAAAACAUACUCUAGCAUUACUUGGUUUGUUUUUUGAGUUCCAACCCUGCCAUCUAUUUAUUCAAUGUCAUAAAAAACCUUUGAAGCAACAAGUGCAAGAUACAUUCUGGAGGGACAUUAUCCCACACCUGACAAAAUUCACUACUAACCCCUUGCUUAGUUAACACAUGUGCAAACAUUAUUUGAUGUCCGACGAGGCCAGCAAACUUUGAACCCCUGAAGCGCCCAGAGCAUCUUUCUUCAUAUCUUCAAUCAAUGGCCCUAUUGCCGAUGACCGCCUUGCUAUCCAGCUCCACAUGAAUCUAUUGCAUAUCCAUUCCCUCUGGUAGCUGAAGCGCCCUCCUGCAUGCUAAAAUCUCGACGAGCUCCGAGUUUGACACUCAUAGAAAAAAGUGACAAGCGCCACCUCGGAAAGCACCAGCGUGGCCACUAAUCAACACUCUACACUCCUGGAAGAAAGUGAGAACUGCCAUUCCUUGUGCUGCAUGCAACGUCCCCACCAAACCCACCAGUGGGCACACCAGAUCUUGGUCGUUGCGCCUUGGAUCUAGACUAGCCCAACAUAUCAACUCCAGUCUUCCCUGCACACCUUGUGUUCACUCGUGCGCAUCUGGGAUCAACUUCCCAAACGGUCACCCAUCCUCAAAUUGUCAAGCUCAAUAUACUUAAAUUUGAGGUUCCUUUUGGAUGGGCUCCCAGAAAAGAAGGUGCACCUUGUUGAUAUGAGUAGUCUAUAUCAUUUAUAUUAAGCUGUGGUGUCACAUACACCCUCCCCCCUCAAACGAACGGACAUCCCCAUCGGCCCAGUAGGAAUGUUCACACGUCUGUGUGUGCCAGUGCCAACAUCUACAUGGACUCAUGUAUGCAUCAUUGACCCUGAUGACCCACAAGUAUAUGGGGUCAAUUGUAGCCCUUUUCGAUAAAUAAGAGUGUCGAACCCAACGAGGAGCAGAAGGAAAUGACAAGUGGUUUUCAGCAAGGUAAUAUCUGCAAGUGCUAAAAUUGUGAGUAGCGCAGUAGUUUGAUAGUAGGAUAAUCUGUAACGAGCAAGUAACAAUAGUAGUAACAAAAGUGCAGCCAGGUAGCCCAAUCCUUUUGAGGCAAAGGACAUGCCAAAACGGUUUCUUAUGAUAAGCAAAGUGUUCUUGAGGGUACACGGGAA
Triticum aestivum (bread wheat) is the source of this 4372-nucleotide RNA transcript. RefSeq lists it as uncharacterized. The record is from RefSeq and is a predicted model, not a curated record. NCBI's taxonomy places the organism in Eukaryota, Viridiplantae, Streptophyta, Magnoliopsida, Poales, Poaceae. The transcript is spliced from 3 exons.